Molecule: ribosomal RNA, 468 nt
Filed under: uncultured bacterium
Lineage: Bacteria
Description: partial 16S ribosomal RNA
Rfam family: Bacterial small subunit ribosomal RNA
Source: RNAcentral
GACGAACGCUGGCGGCGUGCUUAACACAUGCAAGUCGAACGGAAAGGCCCUGCUUUUGUGGGGUGCUCGAGUGGCGAACGGGUGAGUAACACGUGAGUAACCUGCCCUUGACUUUGGGAUAACUUCAGGAAACUGGGGCUAAUACCGGAUAGGAGCUCCGGCUGCAUGGUGGGGGUUGGAAAGUUUCGGCGGUUGGGGAUGGACUCGCGGCUUAUCAGCUUGUUGGUGGGGUAGUGGCUUACCAAGGCUUUGACGGGUAGCCGGCCUGAGAGGGUGACCGGCCACAUUGGGACUGAGAUACGGCCCAGACUCCUACGGGAGGCAGCAGUGGGGAAUAUUGCACAAUGGGCGGAAGCCUGAUGCAGCAACGCCGCGUGCGGGAUGACGGCCUUCGGGUUGUAUACCGCUUUCGCCUGUGACGAAGCGUGAGUGACGGUAAUGGGUAAAGAAGCACCGGCUAACUACGUG